UUAAGCCUACGGGGGGCAGCAGUGGGGAAUAUUGCACAAUGGGGGAAACCCUGAUGCAGCGACGCCGCGUGAAGGAAGAAGUAUUUCGGUAUGUAAACUUCUAUCAGCAGGGAAGAAAAUGACGGUACCUGACUAAGAAGCCCCGGCUAACUACGUGCCAGCAGCCGCGGUAAUACGUAGGGGGCAAGCGUUAUCCGGAUUUACUGGGUGUAAAGGGAGCGUAGACGGUCCUGCAAGCCAGAUGUGAAAGCCCGGGGCUCAACCCCGGGACUGCAUUUGGAACUGUAAGGCU
Molecule: ribosomal RNA, 292 nt
Filed under: uncultured bacterium
Lineage: Bacteria
Description: partial 16S ribosomal RNA
Rfam family: Bacterial small subunit ribosomal RNA
Source: RNAcentral